RNAcentral lists this ribosomal RNA (221 nucleotides) under uncultured Lactobacillus sp. RNAcentral describes it as "partial 16S ribosomal RNA". It matches the Rfam family "Bacterial small subunit ribosomal RNA", at positions 141 to 355 of the family's 1533-position model. The record is from RNAcentral. Lineage: Bacteria; Bacillati; Bacillota; Bacilli; Lactobacillales; Lactobacillaceae.
GGAUAACACCUGGAAACAGAUGCUAAUACCGGAUAACAACAGAUGAUGCCUAUCAACUGUUUAAAAGAUGGUUCUGCUAUCACUCUUGGAUGGACCUGCGGUGCAUUAGCUAGUUGGUAGGGUAACGGCCUACCAAGGCGAUGAUGCAUAGCCGAGUUGAGAGACUGAUCGGCCACAUUGGGACUGAGACACGGCCCAAACUCCUACGGGAGGCAGCAGUC